UCAAUUCAUUUCUGGGUAGUGCGUGCAGUGCGGUGUGUGUCACAUUGAUGAAUCGACGAAGAAAGAAAAUGAAUUCGACGUAGUUUUGCGCUAAAUUGCGAUCAUCCCGGUUAUCCAUAAAAUCGUCCCGCAGCCCCGACCACGCCUAAAAUCCCGAAAAAGUCGACGGGAAUCGGGUUCAAAUACCGUUCUAAGGUUACGUCAAAAAAAAACGGGCAAGUCGCUCGGAUGGUAGUGGUAACAUGGCGGCCUGAAAGACGUAUUUUGUUAAUGUCUUUUGUUGUGUAAAUUCCGGAUUUUUUAAUCGAAAUGGAGCUCAGGGUGGGCAACAAGUACAGAUUGGGGAGGAAAAUAGGAUCCGGGUCCUUUGGGGACAUUUACUUAGGAACUAAUAUAUCAACAGGGGAAGAGGUAGCAAUUAAGUUAGAAUGUAUCAAAACAAGGCAUCCUCAAUUACACAUAGAAUCAAAAUUUUACCGGAUGAUGCAAGGGGGAGUGGGAAUUCCACAAAUGAAAUGGUGCGGCUCAGAAGGUGAUUAUAAUGUAAUGGUGAUGGAGCUCCUAGGACCGUCUUUGGAAGAUCUAUUCAAUUUCUGUUCAAGAAGGUUCUCCCUUAAGACGGUGUUACUUUUGGCCGACCAGCUGAUCUCACGUACUGAUUUUAUCCAUUCGCGAAAUUUUAUACAUAGAGAUAUUAAGCCUGACAAUUUCCUAAUGGGUCUAGGAAAGAAGGGCAACUUAGUUUAUAUUAUAGAUUUUGGAUUAGCUAAGAAAUAUAGGGACGGACGCACCCACCAGCACAUACCAUAUAAGGAAAAUAAAAAUUUGACAGGUACGGCGAGGUACGCGAGCAUAAACACCCAUUUAGGCAUCGAACAGUCCAGGAGAGACGAUCUCGAAUCGCUCGGCUACGUCCUUAUGUAUUUUAAUAGAGGUUCUUUACCAUGGCAGGGCUUGAAGGCCGCCACCAAACGCCAAAAGUACGAAAGGAUUUCCGAAAAGAAGAUCUCUACGCCUAUUGAGGAAUUGUGCAAGGGUUAUCCAGCCGAGUUUCCCACAUAUUUAACCUACUGCAAGCAACUGAGGUUUGAAGAACGUCCUGAUUACAGUUACCUUAGGCAAUUAUUUAGAACUCUGUUCCAUAGACAAGGGUUCACUUACGAUUACGUGUUUGAUUGGAAUCUGCUCAAAUUCGGUGGUUCGCGGGGCAGCCACUGCGAGGAAAACGCAGGCGGACGGUCGGGAACGGCCGCCGCGGCCGCAGCGCGCUACGGUUCAAUGGCGCACGCUACCGGAGCCGCGGGGGCCGGAGAUUCCGUUCCGGCGCAGCAGCAACAACAGCAACGAGGUCGUAGGGCGCACGACGGACCCGCGCCCCAUCCUCUAGAGGACGUCAUAACUAGCAAUACUUCUCGGCUAUUCGAUAGUCACGAGAGGAGGGUGUCGAUGAGGUUAAGACAAGCGGCCCCGAACGCCUCCACUUCCGACUUGAGCACCUCCAAGCAGGCCAACCUCUCGGAUUGGAUAAAAGCCCUACCGCCUAAAUUUAGUAAAGAUUAGACAGACCUCUUAUAUUAAAAAUGAAAUUAGAAGAAAGGAGUGAAUUCGCACAGCGCCAGUAAAAGGUCGAAAGUAAAAAUAGCCCAUUAGUCAAUCAACUUUUGAAGAUUCGGUGCGGCUGAAAGAAUUUUUAAUUAGUAGUGGGCUGGCUGCCUUCUGAAUUACUGUGACAAAUAUUAUGUUAACCUUAUUAUAUUUUCAUACAGUGUAAUGUACUAUACAGAGACAUGGAGUCAUUUUAGGUAAAAAAAUAAAUUAUAUUAGUAAGUUUA
RNAcentral lists this unclassified non-coding RNA (1832 nucleotides) under Anthonomus grandis grandis. RNAcentral's name for it is "casein kinase I-like". Lineage: Eukaryota; Metazoa; Arthropoda; Insecta; Coleoptera; Curculionidae. The record is from RNAcentral.